This 240-nucleotide unclassified non-coding RNA is filed under the name Hevea brasiliensis (rubber tree). Lineage: Eukaryota; Viridiplantae; Streptophyta; Magnoliopsida; Malpighiales; Euphorbiaceae. The record is from RNAcentral.
GUCGGCGGGCGGCUGCUCGGGAUCUUCUGAUUGAUUUAUCAAUCCUGGAUUCAGUCCUACGGCAGUGAGGAAAUGUCUGUCAGUCAAAACGAGUUUCUGUUUAAUGGGAAUGUGUGGCUCAAUGGCAGCGACCACCUCUCGCACCAAAGAUACCAAUAUGCAUUUCCAGAUCCAAUUCCCGAUCUGAAUCUGUUACCUGAAACAUCAGCAAUCACUGAAAAUGGUGAUGCAAUGUGCUUU